Molecule: transfer RNA, 92 nt
Organism: Jaapia argillacea
Lineage: Eukaryota; Fungi; Basidiomycota; Agaricomycetes; Jaapiales; Jaapiaceae
Rfam family: tRNA
About the family: Transfer RNA (tRNA) molecules are approximately 80 nucleotides in length.
Source: Rfam
GCCCGCCUAGCUCAAUCGGAUAGAGCGUCAGACUCUUACCUAGGCAUUGUAUGGCGAUCUGAAGGCUGCGAGUUCGACCCUCGCGGUGGGCU